UACGUAGGGGGCAAGCGUUGUCCGGAUUUAUUGGGCGUAAAGCGCUCGCAGGUGGUUCGUCGCGUCGUGCGUGAAAGACCCCGGCUCAACUGGGGGAGGUCGUGCGAUACGGGCGGACUGGAGGCCAGUAGGGGGAUGCGGAAUUCCGGGUGUAGUGGUGGAAUGCGUAGAGAUCCGGAGGAACACCAGCGGCGAAGGCGGCAUCUGGACUGGUCCUGACACUCAGGAGCGAAAGCGUGGGGAGCGAGCCGG
This 252-nucleotide ribosomal RNA is filed under the name uncultured bacterium. Its description in RNAcentral is "partial 16S ribosomal RNA". It matches the Rfam family "Bacterial small subunit ribosomal RNA", at positions 524 to 776 of the family's 1533-position model. The record is from RNAcentral.